CGAAUGGGGGAACCCAACAUGAGUUAUGUCAUGUUAUCGACAUGUGAAUUCAUAGCAUGUCAGAAGGCAGACCCGGAGAACUGAAACAUCUUAGUACCCGGAGGAAGAGAAAGAAAAAUCGAUUCCCUGAGUAGCGGCGAGCGAAACGGGAAGAGCCCAAACCAACAAGCUUGCUUGUUGGGGUUGUAGGACACUCUAUACGGAGUUACAAAAGAACAUGUUAGACGAAUCAUCUGGAAAGAUGAAUCAAAGAAGGUAAUAAUCCUGUAGUCGAAAACAUAUUCUCUCUUGAGUGGAUCCUGAGUACGACGGAGCACGUGAAAUUCCGUCGGAAUCUAGGAGGACCAUCUCCUAAGGCUAAAUACUCUCUAGUGACCGAUAGUGAACCAGUACCGUGAGGGAAAGGUGAAAAGUACCCCGGAAGGGGAGUGAAAGAGAACUUGAAACCGUGUGCUUACAAGUAGUCAGAGCCCGUUUAUGGGUGAUGGCGUGCCUUUUGUAGAAUGAACCGGCGAGUUACGAUCUGAUGCAAGGUUAAGCAGCGAAUGUGGAGCCGUAGCGAAAGCGAGUCUGAAUAGGGCGUUGAGUAUUUGGUCGUAGACCCGAAACCAGGUGAUCUACCCUUGGUCAGGUUGAAGUUCAGGUAACACUGAAUGGAGGACCGAACCGACUUACGUUGAAAAGUGAGCGGAUGAACUGAGGGUAGCGGAGAAAUUCCAAUCGAACUUGGAGAUAGCUGGUUCUCUCCGAAAUAGCUUUAGGGCUAGCCUCAAGUGAUGAUUAUUGGAGGUAGAGCACUGUUUGGACGAGGGGCCCCUCUCGGGUUACCGAAUUCAGACAAACUCCGAAUGCCAAUCAAUUUAACUUGGGAGUCAGAACAUGGGUGAUAAGGUCCGUGUUCGAAAGGGAAACAGCCCAGACCACCAGCUAAGGUCCCAAAAUAUAUGUUAAGUGGAAAAGGAUGUGGCGUUGCCCAGACAACUAGGAUGUUGGCUUAGAAGCAGCCAUCAUUUAAAGAGUGCGUAAUAGCUCACUAGUCGAGUGACACUGCGCCGAAAAUGUACCGGGGCUAAACAUAUUACCGAAGCUGUGGAUUGUCCUUCGGACAAUGGUAGGAGAGCGUUCUAAGGGCGUUGAAGCAUGAUCGCAAGGACAUGUGGAGCGCUUAGAAGUGAGAAUGCCGGUGUGAGUAGCGAAAGACGGGUGAGAAUCCCGUCCACCGAUUGACUAAGGUUUCCAGAGGAAGGCUCGUCCGCUCUGGGUUAGUCGGGUCCUAAGCUGAGGCCGACAGGCGUAGGCGAUGGAUAACAGGUUGAUAUUCCUGUACCACCUAGUAUCGUUUUAAUCGAUGGGGGGACGCAGUAGGAUAGGCGAAGCGUGCUGUUGGAGUGCACGUCCAAGCAGUAAGGCUGAGUGUUAGGCAAAUCCGGCACUCGUUAGGCUGAGCUGUGAUGGGGAGAGGAAAUUGUUUCCUCGAGUCGUUGAUUUCACACUGCCGAGAAAAGCCUCUAGAUAGAUAACAGGUGCCCGUACCGCAAACCGACACAGGUAGUCAAGAUGAGAAUUCUAAGGUGAGCGAGCGAACUCUCGUUAAGGAACUCGGCAAAAUGACCCCGUAACUUCGGGAGAAGGGGUGCUCUUUAGGGUUCACGCCCAGAAGAGCCGCAGUGAAUAGGCCCAAGCGACUGUUUAUCAAAAACACAGGUCUCUGCUAAACCGUAAGGUGAUGUAUAGGGGCUGACGCCUGCCCGGUGCUGGAAGGUUAAGAGGAGUGGUUAGCUUCUGCGAAGCCACGAAUCGAAGCCCCAGUAAACGGCGGCCGUAACUAUAACGGUCCUAAGGUAGCGAAAUUCCUUGUCGGGUAAGUUCCGACCCGCACGAAAGGCGUAACGAUUUGGGCACUGUCUCAACGAGAGACUCGGUGAAAUCAUAGUACCUGUGAAGAUGCAGGUUACCCGCGACAGGACGGAAAGACCCCGUGGAGCUUUACUGUAGCCUGAUAUUGAAAUUCGGCACAGCUUGUACAGGAUAGGUAGGAGCCAUUGAAACGUGAGCGCUAGCUUACGUGGAGGCGUUGGUGGGAUACUACCCUAGCUGUGUUGGCUUUCUAACCCGCACCACUUAUCGUGGUGGGAGACAGUGUCAGGCGGGCAGUUUGACUGGGGCGGUCGCCUCCUAAAAGGUAACGGAGGCGCUCAAAGGUUCCCUCAGAAUGGUUGGAAAUCAUUCACAGAGUGUAAAGGCAUAAGGGAGCUUGACUGCGAGACCUACAAGUCGAGCAGGGUCGAAAGACGGACUUAGUGAUCCGGUGGUUCCGCAUGGAAGGGCCAUCGCUCAACGGAUAAAAGCUACCCCGGGGAUAACAGGCUUAUCUCCCCCAAGAGUUCACAUCGACGGGGAGGUUUGGCACCUCGAUGUCGGCUCAUCGCAUCCUGGGGCUGUAGUCGGUCCCAAGGGUUGGGCUGUUCGCCCAUUAAAGCGGUACGCGAGCUGGGUUCAGAACGUCGUGAGACAGUUCGGUCCCUAUCCGUCGUGGGCGUAGGAAAUUUGAGAGGAGCUGUCCUUAGUACGAGAGGACCGGGAUGGACAUACCUCUGGUGUACCAGUUGUCGUGCCAACGGCAUAGCUGGGUAGCUAUGUAUGGACGGGAUAAGUGCUGAAAGCAUCUAAGCAUGAAGCCCCCCUCAAGAUGAGAUUUCCCAACUUCGGUUAUAAGAUCCCUCGAAGAUGACGAGGUUAAUAGGUUCGAGGUGGAAGCGUGGUGACACGUGGAGCUGACGAAUACUAAUCGAUCGAAGACUUAAUCAA
Molecule: ribosomal RNA, 2808 nt
Filed under: Staphylococcus capitis
Lineage: Bacteria; Bacillati; Bacillota; Bacilli; Caryophanales; Staphylococcaceae
Description: bacterial LSU rRNA
Rfam family: Bacterial large subunit ribosomal RNA
Source: RNAcentral